This 510-nucleotide ribosomal RNA is filed under the name uncultured bacterium. Its description in RNAcentral is "partial 16S ribosomal RNA". It matches the Rfam family "Bacterial small subunit ribosomal RNA", at positions 28 to 507 of the family's 1533-position model. The record is from RNAcentral.
GACGAACGCUGGCGGCGUGCUUAACACAUGCAAGUCGAACGAAGAGCGAUGGAAGCUUGCUUCUAUCAAUCUUAGUGGCGAACGGGUGAGUAACGCGUAAUCAACCUGCCCUUCAGAGGGGGACAACAGUUCGAAACGACUGCUAAUACCGCAUACGAUCCAAUCUCGGCAUCGGGACUGGAUGAAAGGUGGCCUCUAUUUAUAAGCUAUCACUGAAGGAGGGGAUUGCGUCUGAUUAGCUAGUUGGAGGGGUAACGGCCCACCAAGGCGAUGAUCAGUAGCCGGUCUGAGAGGAUGAACGGCCACAUUGGGACUGAGACACGGCCCAGACUCCUACGGGAGGCAGCAGUGGGGAAUCUUCCGCAAUGGACGAAAGUCUGACGGAGCAACGCCGCGUGAGUGAUGACGGCCUUCGGGUUGUAAAGCUCUGUUAAUCGGGACGAAUGGUUCUUGUGCGAAUAGUGCGAGGAUUUGACGGUACCGGAAUAGAAAGCCACGGCUAACUACGUG